This 74-nucleotide transfer RNA is filed under the name Candidatus Wolfebacteria bacterium. RNAcentral describes it as "tRNA-Gln". It matches the Rfam family "tRNA". From Rfam's summary of the family: Transfer RNA (tRNA) molecules are approximately 80 nucleotides in length. Their secondary structure includes four short double-helical elements and three loops (D, anti-codon, and T loops). The record is from RNAcentral. Lineage: Bacteria; Candidatus Wolfeibacteriota.
UCGGAGGUCGUCUAAUGGUAGGACGCCAGGUUCUGGCCCUGGAAAUUUGGGUUCGAGUCCCUGCCUCCGAACCG